AACCCAGAUAAAGCCAACCCAGAUACAGCCAAUAAUGGGACAAGAAGGGAGGGAGAGAGAGAGAAAAAUCAGAAGAGAGAUCCAGCUGAACCAAAGCCUAACUUCUGGCAAAUCAAAGAGUUGCUUCUUUAGAGCUACAUUUAGACUGGAUACACAACACAUUCACAUGGGUAAAUCAGUUUUAUACAUUCCUAUAAAUUGUACACCAGUUUUAUAUAUUAAUGUAAAUUGGAUCAGCAGCAGACGAAGGAGCAGUUUAUACUGAAAUGGCAGACUAUAGGGCAGCGAUUCUCAAGUAGGGUGCCCUGGCACCCU
Gavialis gangeticus (Gharial) is the source of this 315-nucleotide long non-coding RNA. RefSeq lists it as uncharacterized. The transcript is spliced from 3 exons. Lineage: Eukaryota; Metazoa; Chordata; Crocodylia; Gavialidae. The record is from RefSeq and is a predicted model, not a curated record.